CUACGCACUCCUACGGGAGGCAGCAGUGGGGAAUAUUGCACAAUGGGCGCAAGCCUGAUGCAGCCAUGCCGCGUGUAUGAAGAAGGCCUUCGGGUUGUAAAGUACUUUCAGCAGUGAGGAAGGUGGGUAUGUUAAUAGCAUAUUCAUUUGACGUUAGCUGCAGAAGAAGCACCGGCUAAACUCCGUGCCAGCAGCCGCGGUAAUACGGAGGGUGCGAGCGUUAAUCGGAAUUACUGGGCGUAAAGCGCAUGCAGGUGGUUUGUUAAGUCAGAUGUGAAAGCCCGGGGCUCAACCUCGGAAUUGCAUUUGAAACUGGCAAACUAGAGUACUGUAGAGGGGGUAGAAUUUCAGGUGUAGCGGUGAAAUGCGUAGAGAUCUGAAGGAAUACCGGUGGCGAAGGCGGCCCCCUGGACAGAUACUGACACUCAGAUGCGAAAGCGUGGGGAGCAAACAGGAUUAGAUACCCUGGUAG
RNAcentral lists this ribosomal RNA (472 nucleotides) under uncultured bacterium. Its description in RNAcentral is "bacterial SSU rRNA". It matches the Rfam family "Bacterial small subunit ribosomal RNA", at positions 329 to 793 of the family's 1533-position model. The record is from RNAcentral.